UUUACAGCUUUCAAGGGCAACCAAGCAGUUUGAAAUAUUGAAAGUGCAUGGUCUUUACACAUCUCCGAAGGAAGAAUAAUUCUCUGAAGAUAAAUCAUCCCAAUUACAAUGUACACCACUCUGAAGAAAUGCAAAAUGAAGAACUAUAGCUUUGCUCUCAAGUACUUGGGCUCUGAAAUGUGUAUGUCAGCCUCCAUGUGAGAAAAUGGAUGACAUUUAAGGUGCUAAUGGAAGUCACAGAGCUGACACUGAUGUCGUAGAUUUCCCGGGCUAAGAGUGCUACAAGAUUGUGAUGUAUGCCUCCAUAAUACAACAGACAUUCGUACCGAUCUCCAAAACCUUUAACGCAGCCCGAACAAACACUCAAUCUUAUAAUUACUAAUAUUGAAUUAAACUGCAUCGAUCAUGAUCCCAUUGGCAAUCUACAGGAUGCACAGUGGAAGAGAAUAUAACCUGGUACACUACAGUUCCACAGUUCCCGGUGCUGUCAUGUUUGAACAUUUUUUUCUAUGGAAUUUAAAAGGGAAUUUUAAAGUGGAUGAUCAAUGAGGAAAUGAAUUGGAAUUGUGCUAUUGGUUUUUUGUUUCUGCAGGAACUGGUCCCCUGCAAUGGGUUCCUUCUUGACUCCUUCCACCGCCUUUUCUUCCUUCUCUGCAGAAGAGUCAUCAAAGCCAAAUACAGACUUAAUACCACUGAGCUGAUGACUGAGAGCCAUCAACAGCCUCUUGCCCAUCUUCUCAAAAUCUCCAAAACUCCAUUUAUUUAUGCAAGGGAAAUUUUAUUCAAAUGAAAAAUAAAAGCAGAGCGCACAGAGACAAA
Molecule: long non-coding RNA, 819 nt
Organism: Ostrea edulis (European flat oyster)
Lineage: Eukaryota; Metazoa; Mollusca; Bivalvia; Ostreida; Ostreidae
Exons: 2
Source: RefSeq, a predicted model, not a curated record